AAGUUGGUGGGGUAAAGGCCUACCAAGACAAUGAUGCAUAGCCGAGUUGAGAGACUGAUCGGCCACAUUGGGACUGAGACACGGCCCAAACUCCUACGGGAGGCUGCAGUAGGGAAUCUUCCACAAUGGGCGAAAGCCUGAUGGAGCAACGCCGCGUGUGUGAUGAAGGCUUUCGGGUCGUAAAGCACUGUUGUAUGGGAAGAACAGCUAGAAUAGGAAAUGAUUUUAGUUUGACGGUACCAUACCAGAAAGGGACGGCUAAAUACGUGCCAGCAGCCGCGGUAAUACGUAUGUCCCGAGCGUUAUCCGGGAUUUAUUGGGCGUAAAGCGAGCGCAGACGGUUUAUUAAGUCUGAUGUGAAAGCCCGGAGCUCAACUCCGGAAUGGCAUUGGAAACUGGUUAACUUGAGUGCAGUAGAGGUAAGUGGAACUCCAUGUGUAGCGGUGGAAUGCGUAGAUAUAUGGAAGAACACCAGUGGCGAAGGCGGCUUACUGGACUGCAACUGACGUUGAGGCUCGAAAGUGUGGGUAGCAAACAGGAUUAGAUACCCUGGUAGUCCACACCGUAAACGAUGAACACUAGGUGUUAGGAGGUUUCCGCCUCUUAGUGCCGAAGCUAACGCAUUAAGUGUUCCGCCUGGGGAGUACGACCGCAAGGUUGAAACUCAAAGGAAUUGACGGGGACCCGCACAAGCGGUGGAGCAUGUGGUUUAAUUCGAAGCAACGCGAAGAACCUUACCAGGUCUUGACAUCCUUUGAAGCUUUUAGAGAUAGAAGUGUUCUUCUUCGGAGACAAAGUGACAGGUGGUGCAUGGUCGUCGUCAGCUCGUGUCGUGAGAAUGUUGGGUUAAGUCCCGCAACGAGCGCAACCCUUAUUGUUAGUUGCCAGCAUUCAGAUGGGCACCUCUAGCGAGACUGCCGGUGACAAACCGGAGGAAGGCGGGGACGACGUCAGAUCAUCAUGCCCCUUAUGACCUGGGCUCACACACCGUGCCUAACAAUGGCGCUUAUACACACGAAGUUGC
RNAcentral lists this ribosomal RNA (1024 nucleotides) under Leuconostoc mesenteroides. Its description in RNAcentral is "bacterial SSU rRNA". It matches the Rfam family "Bacterial small subunit ribosomal RNA", at positions 246 to 1258 of the family's 1533-position model. Lineage: Bacteria; Bacillati; Bacillota; Bacilli; Lactobacillales; Lactobacillaceae. The record is from RNAcentral.